GAUGAAGAACGUAGCGAAAUGCGAUAAGUAAUGUGAAUUGCAGAAUUCAGUGAAUCAUCGAAUCUUUGAACGCACCUUGCGCUCCUUGGUAUUCCGAGGAGCAUGCCUGUUUGAGUGUCAUUAAAUUCUCAACCUUUAUCUUUUAUUGAUAAAUGGCUUGGACUUGGGGGUUUGCUGGCGAAAGUCAGCUCCUCUGAAAUGUAUUAGCUGGUUGCCUUGUGUGAACUUGUCUAUUGGUGUGAUAAUUAUCUACGCCGUGGGCUGUUUGCCGUUUUAGCACUGCUUCUAACUGUCUGUUAACUCGGACAAUAUAUGACAAUUUGACCUCAAAUCAGGUAGGACUACCCGCUGAACUUAAGCAUAUCAAUAAGCGGAGGA
This 378-nucleotide unclassified non-coding RNA is filed under the name soil metagenome. RNAcentral's name for it is "partial contains 5.8S ribosomal RNA, internal transcribed spacer 2, and large subunit ribosomal RNA". The stretch from base 1 to 120 matches the Rfam family "5.8S ribosomal RNA", at positions 35 to 154 of the family's 154-position model. The record is from RNAcentral.